UUUUGCCUCGAGCACAGAUUCUUCCUGAGUAUCAGCUUUUCUGAUCAAAAUUCCCGACAUCUGGCCUUUUGGGUUGCUGACGACAUCCACAGUCUCAGUGUUGAAAUGCACAGUGAUGUUUGGAUUGUUGAAAACUCUGAAACAUUCCCCAUAAUCAACCUGUCUUGCAUUGCUCUUGAUGCUCUUAGUUGGUCCUUACGGACAAGUAAAUGAACAUGGCGCGCAUACUUUGUUAAGUAUAU
This 242-nucleotide unclassified non-coding RNA is filed under the name Hevea brasiliensis (rubber tree). Lineage: Eukaryota; Viridiplantae; Streptophyta; Magnoliopsida; Malpighiales; Euphorbiaceae. The record is from RNAcentral.